GACGAACGUUGGCGGCGUGCUUAACACAUGCAAGUCGAACGGAAAGGCCCUGCUUUUGUGGGGUGCUCGAGUGGCGAACGGGUGAGUAACACGUGAGUAACCUGCCCUUGACUUUGGGAUGACUUCAGGAAACUGGGGCUAAUACCGGAUAGGAGCUCCUGCUGCAUGGUGGGGGUUGGAAAGUUUCGGCGGUUGGGGAUGGACUCGCGGCUUAUCAGCUUGUUGGUGGGGUAGUGGCUUACCAAGGCUUUGACGGGUAGCCGGCCUGAGAGGGUGACCGGCCACAUUGGGACUGAGAUACGGCCCAGACUCCUACGGGAGGCAGCAGUGGGGAAUAUUGCACAAUGGGCGGAAGCCUGAUGCAGCAACGCCGCGUGCGGGAUGACGGCCUUCGGGUUGUAAACCGCUUUCGCCUGUGACGAAGCGUGAGUGACGGUAAUGGGUAAAGAAGCACCGGCUAACUACGUGCCAGCAGCCGCGGUGAUACGUAGGGUGCGAGCGUUGUCCGGAUUUAUUGGGCGUAAAGGGCUCGUAGGUGGUUGAUCGCGUCGGAAGUGUAAUCUUGGGGCUUAACCCUGAGCGUGCUUUCGAUACGGGUUGACUUGAGGAAGGUAGGGGAGAAUGGAAUUCCUGGUGGAGCGGUGGAAUGCGCAGAUAUCAGGAGGAACACCAGUGGCGAAGGCGGUUCUCUGGGCCUUUCCUGACGCUGAGGAGCGAAAGCGUGGGGAGCGAACAGGCUUAGAUACCCUGGUAGUCCACGCUGUAAACGGUGGGUACUAGGUGUGGGGUCCAUUCCACGGGUUCCGUGCCGUAGCUAACGCUUUAAGUACCCCGCCUGGGGAGUACGGCCGCAAGGCUAAAACUCAAAGGAAUUGACGGGGCCCCGCACAAGCGGCGGAGCAUGCGGAUUAAUUCGAUGCAACGCGUAGAACCUUACCUGGGUUUGACAUGGAUCGGGAGUGCUCAGAGAUGGGUGUGCCUCUUUUGGGGUCGGUUCACAGGUGGUGCAUGGCUGUCGUCAGCUCGUGUCGUGAGAUGUUGGGUUAAGUCCCGCAACGAGCGCAACCCUUGUUCACUGUUGCCAGCACGUUAUGGUGGGGACUCAGUGGAGACCGCCGGGGUCAACUCGGAGGAAGGUGGGGAUGACGUCAAGUCAUCAUGCCCCUUAUGUCCAGGGCUUCACGCAUGCUACAAUGGCUGGUACAGAGAGUGGCGAGCCUGUGAGGGUGAGCGAAUCUCGGAAAGCCGGUCUCAGUUCGGAUUGGGGUCUGCAACUCGACCUCAUGAAGUCGGAGUCGCUAGUAAUCGCAGAUCAGCAACGCUGCGGUGAAUACGUUCCCGGGGC
RNAcentral lists this ribosomal RNA (1345 nucleotides) under uncultured bacterium. RNAcentral's name for it is "partial 16S ribosomal RNA". It matches the Rfam family "Bacterial small subunit ribosomal RNA", at positions 28 to 1380 of the family's 1533-position model. The record is from RNAcentral.